AGCGGCGGACGGGUGAAGUAACACGUGGGUAACCUGCCUGUAAGACUGGGUAACUCCGGGAAACCGGGGCUAAUACCGGUGGUUGUUUGAACCGCAUGGUUCAAACAUAAAAGGUGGCUUCGGCUACCACUUACAGAUGGACCCGCGGCGCAUUAGCUAGUUGGUGAGGUAACGGCUCACCAAGGCAACGAUGCGUAGCCGACCUGAGAGGGUGAUCGGCCACACUGGGACUGAGACACGGCCCAGACUCCUACGGGAGGCAGCAGUAGGGAAUCUUCCGCAAUGGACGAAAGUCUGACGGAGCAACGCCGCGUGAGUGAUGAAGGUUUUCGGAUCGUAAAGCUCUGUUGUUAGGGAAGAACAAGUACCGUUCGAAUAGGGCGGUACCUUGACGGUACCUAACCAGAAAGCCACGGCUAACUACGUGCCAGCAGCCGCGUUAAUUAA
Molecule: ribosomal RNA, 447 nt
Filed under: Bacillus subtilis
Lineage: Bacteria; Bacillati; Bacillota; Bacilli; Caryophanales; Bacillaceae
Description: bacterial SSU rRNA
Rfam family: Bacterial small subunit ribosomal RNA
Source: RNAcentral